This 505-nucleotide ribosomal RNA is filed under the name uncultured bacterium. RNAcentral describes it as "partial 16S ribosomal RNA". It matches the Rfam family "Bacterial small subunit ribosomal RNA", at positions 28 to 507 of the family's 1533-position model. The record is from RNAcentral.
GACGAACGCUGGCGGCGUGCCUAAUACAUGCAAGUCGAACGCACAGUUUAUACCGUAGCUUGCUACACCAUAGACUGUGAGUUGCGAACGGGUUAGUAACGCGUACAUAACCUGCCUGGGAGCGGUGGAUCACUAUUGGAAACGAUAGCUAAUACCGCAUAAUCUUAAUUAUUGCAUGAUAAUUAAUUGAAAGGUUCAAUUGCACCACUACUAGCUAGACGUGCGUUGUAUUAUCUAGUAGGGGAGGUAUCGGCUCACCUAGGCGACGAGACAUACCCGAACCGAGGGGAUGAUCAGCCGCACGGGGAAGGGGACACGGCCCAGACUCCUGCGUGAGGCAGCAGUAGGGAAUCUUCGGGAAGGGGCGAAAGGCAGACCGAGCAACGGCGCGAGAGUGAAGAAGGGUUUCGGAGCGUAGAGGUCGGUUGUAAGCGAAGAGCGGGUGUGAGUGUGGAAAGAUCAAGCUGUGACGGUAUCUGAGCAGAAAGCGACGGCUAACUACGUG